This 502-nucleotide ribosomal RNA is filed under the name uncultured bacterium. RNAcentral describes it as "partial 16S ribosomal RNA". It matches the Rfam family "Bacterial small subunit ribosomal RNA", at positions 28 to 507 of the family's 1533-position model. The record is from RNAcentral.
GAUUAACGCUGGCGGCGUGCCUAACACAUGCAAGUCGAGCGGCAGCGAGUUUUACACUGAAUUCUGGAAGCUUCUAGUUGAAAGAGGAGAUUUAUUCAAGAAUUUUGUGUAAAAUGUCGGCGAGCGGCGGACGGCUGAGUAACGCGUGGGAACGUACCCCAAAGUGAGGGAUAACGCAUCGAAAGGUGUGCUAAUACCGCAUAUGGUCUUCGGAUUAAAGCCUUCGGGCGCUUUGGGAACGGCCUGCGUAAGAUUAGAUAGUUGGUGGGGUAAUGGCCUACCAAGUCGACGAUCUUUAACUGGUUUGAGAGGAUGAUCAGUCAGACUGGAACUGAGACACGGUCCAGACUCCUACGGGAGGCAGCAGUGAGGAAUCUUCCACAAUGGGCGAAAGCCUGAUGGAGCAACGCCGCGUGCAGGAUGAAGGCCUUCGGGUUGUAAACUGCUUUUAUAAGUGAGGAUUAUGACAGUAACUUAUGAAUAAGGAUCGGCUAACUACGUG